This 465-nucleotide ribosomal RNA is filed under the name uncultured bacterium. Its description in RNAcentral is "bacterial SSU rRNA". It matches the Rfam family "Bacterial small subunit ribosomal RNA", at positions 338 to 795 of the family's 1533-position model. The record is from RNAcentral.
CCUACGGGUCGCAGCAGUGGGGAAUAUUGCACAAUGGGCGCAAGCCUGAUGCAGCCAUGCCGCGUGUAUGAAGAAGGCCUUCGGGUUGUAAAGUACUUUCAGCGGGGAGGAAGGUGUUGAGGUUAAUAACCUCAGCAAUUGAGGUUACCCGCAGAAGAAGCACCGGCUAACUCCGUGCCAGCAGCCGCAGUAAUACGGAGGGUGCAAGCGUUAAUCGGAAUUACUGGGCGUAAAGCGCACGCAGGCGGUCUGUCAAGUCGGAUGUGAAAUCCCCGGGCUCAACCUGGGAACUGCAUUCGAAACUGGCAGGCUAGAGUCUUGUAGAGGGGGGUAGAAUUCCAGGUGUAGCGGUGAAAUGCGUAGAGAUCUGGAGGAAUACCGGUGGCGAAGGCGGCCCCCUGGACAAAGACUGACGCUCAGGUGCGAUAGCGUGGGGAGCAAACAGGAUUAGAUACCCGUGUAGUC